GCCCUACGCCACCAGGCGGGGACCCGGACCCUGGGGCGGAGCAGGCUGGAGGGCCUGGCCCUGCAACGCAGUGCAGGGUCCCGGACCUCCUACUCUGAGGCUGGGGAAUGGCUGUCUACUGGGGCACUUGAGGGAUAAUGGGAGCUGGGAGUCCCUGUUCGGCGACCUCACCUGGCUGUAAACUCACCUUCUUGUGCGCGCAGGCCGCCGCUCCUGCGGCUCCAGGCAGCCAAGCCCAAUGAUGGGCGGAGGAGGGAAGGAGGAAGGAAGGGAAGUUUUCCCAGCCUCUCAGCUCACGCUUUCGGUCAGCUUCCCACUCUCUGGUGUCCCGGACGCCCUCCGGAUCGCCACUUCGAGCCCUAGUCUAGCUCGGGAGUGUUCCCGUAAGGGGCGCGUUCCCAGCUUGGCAGAAAACUUUCCAGCGAAUCACAGGCUGGCUUCUCCCUCCGCCUGGAGCCGGGGAGGGUGAUCUGAACUGAGUGGCGCCUCACCUGGCUGGAAGUUUGCCUGGGAACCCCACGACUCCAGGCACAGAUCUAUGUGCCCUGCCAGCUCUGAAUCUCGACCUGGGUGGCUUCGUGGGUGCGCAGCCAGCUCUUUGAAGUUCAAGGCUUGAGAAGUCCCUGGGCAGCCGGGUGUCAGAGGAUUCGGCUGGGGUUAAAAGGCGCCUCCUACUGGAGCUGCCUGCCUCCUUAUCCCACCACGCUGCUACCUCACCAGGACCGGAGGCAUGUGUCCUUAGGGGAAACGAUCCAAAGAUGCGAAUCUCAAACAGUGACUUCUAUUACCUAUUGUGCUGUCUAGUUUUAUGGGAGGCCUCAAAAAUGAGAAGAUUCUAUUCUUGGAUCUGCCAGCACUGGGGCUGUCUCUGCAGCCCUGGCUCAGAAUACCCACACCUAGAAUUUCCAAGAGCUGGCAGGAUAAUGGGCGCCCAAAGCUGUUCACAUCUCAAGUCUCCGGAACCCAGGACCUUAGGUGGUAGACUGCAGCCCUGCAGCAGUUCCUGGCAAUUUGUUACAGUAGCCACGGGGAAUGGAUACAUCUAGCCUCUCAGCUGUAUAGGCCAAUGCUGAUUUCACCAGCCCUUCUGCUGACAGUCCACUGGAAAGCUCUUCUCUCAAGAGACACCAGGAUAUAGCUUGAUUCACGGAUUUAGAAAGAGGAUAAGAUUUCAUCAGAUCUGUCUUUAUUGUUUUUUUUUUUUUUUUGGCUUCUCUGCCAUUUUGAACUGUGUGACCUUGGGAAAAUGUCUUAUUCUCUCUGGGCCUCAGUUUCUUUCUUUAAAUGUAAAAACAGUGAUGCUGGCUAGGUACACAGGAGGCAGAUGCCUAUGGCCCCAGAUACUUCAGAUGCUGAGGCAGGAGGAUGGCACAUUUGAGGUCACCUUGGCAACCUUCUUUUGUUAUCAGAUCAAUAUGAGUAUCAGAGGCAGCAGCAGGAUGCGAUGCUCUGUGUGAGCCCCCAUGACAUCUGAACUGCAGUUGCUGAGACCUGAACUGCCCACUCGGGAACACAGGACUCUUUAGAGCGGGCUUGUCUGAUGGACCAUUCUUGAACUCUGGACACGUGAUGCUUGAAAAUGAGUGUCUAGCGGGGCUUGGUGAUGCACGCAGGUAACCCCAGUGCCUUUGGGAACUGAGGCAGGGGGAUCAGAAGAUCAGGGUCACCCUUUUUGAGGAUAACUUUGUGUGGUACACACACCAAAAAUCAAAAACUAAAAAAAAAAAAAAAAAAACCCAACCCCCAAAACCUCACUAA
This 1758-nucleotide long non-coding RNA is filed under the name Mus musculus (house mouse). Its description in RNAcentral is "Tmem51 opposite strand 1 (Tmem51os1)". Lineage: Eukaryota; Metazoa; Chordata; Mammalia; Rodentia; Muridae. The record is from RNAcentral.